Molecule: small nucleolar RNA, 104 nt
Organism: Rhinopithecus roxellana (golden snub-nosed monkey)
Lineage: Eukaryota; Metazoa; Chordata; Mammalia; Primates; Cercopithecidae
Product: small nucleolar RNA U13
Exons: 1
Source: RefSeq, a predicted model, not a curated record
AGCCUUUUGUAGUUUAUAAGUGUGAUAAUUGGCUUUUCUCGUUCUUGUGUGAGAAGUGCUUCUCUCAAACCUUGUUAUGAUGUCAGCACAUUACCUACCAGACA